Molecule: long non-coding RNA, 122 nt
Filed under: Pogona vitticeps (central bearded dragon)
Lineage: Eukaryota; Metazoa; Chordata; Lepidosauria; Squamata; Agamidae
Description: lncRNA (ENSPVIG00000019018.1)
Source: RNAcentral
GGCGGAUGGUGCCACUGUCUUAAAACCUCUGUCUUGCAUGAUGGAAGACUUACCAAGCUCUUCUGUAGUUGAUUAAUGUACCUCCAGAUGCCCUUCUGGUUCCUGCUGGAAGAUGGAAGAGA